GAUGAAGAACGCAGCGAAAUGCGAUACGUAGUGUGAAUUGCAGAAUUCCGUGAAUCAUCGAAACUUUGAACGCAUAUUGCGCUCGAGGCUUCGGCCAAGAGCAUGUCUGCCUCAGCGUCGGGUUAAUAUCACAUCUAUAUAACUUGUUUAUGUAGACAGUGGACCUGACCGUUCCAAAGGCUUUGGUCUGUGAUGCUAAACCCAUCACAUCCAUAUAAUAUAGUCUUGGAUCGGUUGAAGAGUAGAGGCUAACCGUGGACCCGCUAAGGGCCGGAACUGGGUAGGUGCCUGUCCCUUUUACUAGGGGCUCCGCAUUCUUAGUUGUUGGUCUGGGAACUAGCGUUCAGCCCUCAAUAAGGAAACUUAACUCUUAUUACCUCGACCUGAGCUCAGGCAAGAACACCCGCUGAACUUAAGCAUAUCAAUAAGCGGAGGA
RNAcentral lists this unclassified non-coding RNA (436 nucleotides) under soil metagenome. Its description in RNAcentral is "partial contains 5.8S ribosomal RNA, internal transcribed spacer 2, and large subunit ribosomal RNA". The stretch from base 1 to 120 matches the Rfam family "5.8S ribosomal RNA", at positions 35 to 154 of the family's 154-position model. The record is from RNAcentral.